UGAUAGUGAUCCAUUUGCAAUUUUAACUUUUAAAUUUUUAACAUAGAGUUAAUAGGAUGAGAACAAAUGAUAGGAAUCGAUCAUAUGAUCAGAAGCAUCUAAAUCAAUUAUCCAUGGUGAUUUGGAAUGAGACAUGGUAUUUAAGCUUGUCAAAAAAUUCCGUCAAUGGGCUAACGAGCCAAAAGGGAUACAUGUGGAAGAAGCCAAUACCUCGGUUAGCACGUUGUGGAAAAAUUACCUCGGGCCUUGGAAGUGCUUUUCCCCCGAAUGGCGAUCCAGCAAUUUGGAGCCGAAGGGCGUCGUCGUCGCGAAAGAGGUCAGGUUCAGUGUUUUGACACUAGAUUCGGCCUCCCGAUAGAGUGAAGAAGGCGAUCAACAUCCUUGUUUGUUGAGUAUCCCAAAUGACCACUAUGGUUGCAUCUGCCGCCAGAUGAUGGCUGCAACUCGAGGCGAACUUGGCUCAUCGACGUUUGAAUGGCCGAGUUUUGUCGUGGAUGUUCCAGGGUUUUUUGGCUCACGGAGCUUUAACUGCUAAAUCAAGGGCUUUCCGUUUGACAGCAUGUACUGGCACCUUCAUCGGAGCUAGCUGAUGGAACUUCCGAGAAGGCAUCGACUGCGACAACUUGGGGCUCACUCUCUCGUGCUUGCUUGGAGAGGGUUUUGGCGAGGAAGGAAUAAUCCUUGAUGAUGAUGACGAUGACGACAGCGAUGACAAUGAGAAUGACGAUGAGGAAAUUGAAGCUUCGCGACACAAGAUCGAGCGGCCUCUAAGAAUUCCAACCCAAUCAUCAUCGGGCAAAGCAGCCAAGAUGCCAAAUCUGUGCCGACGUCACCAGUCCAGAAGAUGUCUACGUCGAGCUCGUCGCCACCGCCGCCACCGACUGCGGUUUUUGAUUGAGAUAGAGAGCGGACGUCGAGGAAUCGAUCGGACGAAGGAGCUUUGCUAUUGACGGCGCCAUCUGCCAUUACUAACUAAGGUUAAUGUGGAGUAUACAAUUACCGCAGCAAAAGAAGGGAAAAUGGAUAUUGAUGGAAAUUUUGUUUGACAAAUUUGCAGCAUACUGGGAAAAUUUUUUGUGUUGGAAGUAUUGAGUGUAACAUAUACAGCCCUGUAAGGUUAUUUCAUGUACAUCUUUCCACCCUUGAGAUAGCAUGAGAGAAGCAACCAUUGUAUCAUCUUGAAAUAGCUAUCCUCGUAGGUUCCAAGCUCCUCUCUCGUUGUUGAUUGAAAAAUAUCACCAACUCCUGAAGCUCAGAUAUCUCAAAAGAUCAGCUUCCUCUCCUUCCCAUAUCCCAAUUGAGUCUUGUAUCAAGUUGCCUUCUUCUCAGAAGCACUCUGAUCACUUCUAGCAAUAUGGUAUGGGAAGCUGCUAGCAUUCGUAGUGACGAUCGAUUUAUCCGGUACUUAAUCCAGUAUUUUCUCACCAGUUGAAAAGAGGUUCCAGACCACAGUUCCGACCAAAUAGAGCCCAACUGAAACCUUGAAGACAUCAUCCCAAGAACCUGAGAGAGGAAAAAGUUAUGUAUAAUGAAUUUGACCUCCUUGUUGGAUCAUAAUUAUUUCAAGUUGCAGUAUGAAAGUUCCUUGAUUGUCA
Long non-coding RNA from Malania oleifera, 1595 nucleotides. RefSeq lists it as uncharacterized. Lineage: Eukaryota; Viridiplantae; Streptophyta; Magnoliopsida; Santalales; Ximeniaceae. The record is from RefSeq and is a predicted model, not a curated record. The transcript is spliced from 2 exons.